RNAcentral lists this transfer RNA (68 nucleotides) under Eutropis multifasciata (many-lined sun skink). RNAcentral's name for it is "tRNA-Glu". It matches the Rfam family "tRNA". From Rfam's summary of the family: Transfer RNA (tRNA) molecules are approximately 80 nucleotides in length. The record is from RNAcentral. Lineage: Eukaryota; Metazoa; Chordata; Lepidosauria; Squamata; Scincidae.
GUUUUUGUAGUUGAAGACAACAGUGGUUUUUCGUGCCGCAGGUCUUGGUUGAAGUCCAAGUAAAAAUG